AGUCGGCCACGUGGCUGACUCUGAAGUAUGGGCCUUUAGAAAGAGGAGAGCUUUAGAGAAAGUGAAGUGAAUUUUGAAAAAAUCCAGGUCCUGAUCUCGGAAUAGCAAGCUGAAUAGCAACUAUGGCCAGGGCCUCUGUUAAAACACUGACCCCUGCAUUAAUUGGGCACAACCUCUUGGGUGCCUGCCUCUGAAGCUGAUUUGGGAUUUUCACUGUGAGGAUUCAUCAUCCCCUCAGCAGCUGGUGGACAGAGAAGACGGGGUACCAAGAGGCUGAGAGGUCAAAAUUUGUGGUUGCCAUGCGUUGGUCACUGGAGUUUGAAAUAACGUCCACUCUUCUGCUGCAAAAUCCAGGCAACUAAAGCCUCCUGGUGGAGCUCCAGCACAGCAAAGCCAAAGGAGCAGACACGGUCAACCCGUGGGAUUACAAUGCAAUAAAGGAGGAUGAACGUGUCCGGAAAACACCAGAAUGCGUCCAGACACCACCUUACUGGAAAUCAAUCCUCUCGGUCAGGCCCCCUGCGUGCUGGGUUUAAGUGGGAGUGAUGGCAGGAGAGAGUAAAGGAACAGACAGACAGCGAGGCGGGGGGAUCACAGGAAAGUGGCCGUGGUAGUGGGGGGCUGAUCAGCAGCAAACCACAGUGAGACAGGGAAGGCAGAACAUCUUCAGUCAGAGGCAUCUUCAGAUUCAGUGCAGUACAAACGGCUACAGAAAAUCUUUCCUGGCAAUAGCCAUCACCGUCUUCAAUAACUCUCUUAA
Gambusia affinis (western mosquitofish) is the source of this 760-nucleotide long non-coding RNA. RefSeq lists it as uncharacterized. The record is from RefSeq and is a predicted model, not a curated record. The transcript is spliced from 4 exons. Lineage: Eukaryota; Metazoa; Chordata; Actinopteri; Cyprinodontiformes; Poeciliidae.